AGGACGGGGGAUACAUUGGACUCUAUCCUGGCGGAUGCUCAGUUCAAAGUGAUUGCCCAGCGGAUGAAAGGUGUAUGCAUUCUGUAGAAGAAACAAUAUGUCCUCUUGAUCAUCAAAAUUUAUGUCGAUGCACUUUAGGUUGUGAGAUUGAUAAUCUG
Ostrea edulis (European flat oyster) is the source of this 158-nucleotide long non-coding RNA. RefSeq lists it as uncharacterized. The transcript is spliced from 3 exons. The record is from RefSeq and is a predicted model, not a curated record. NCBI's taxonomy places the organism in Eukaryota, Metazoa, Mollusca, Bivalvia, Ostreida, Ostreidae.